This is a long non-coding RNA of Mirounga angustirostris (Northern elephant seal), 3944 nucleotides long. RefSeq lists it as uncharacterized. The transcript is spliced from 4 exons. Lineage: Eukaryota; Metazoa; Chordata; Mammalia; Carnivora; Phocidae. The record is from RefSeq and is a predicted model, not a curated record.
GCAUGUGGUUUUCUGUGAGGACCAGCCCACUGUGGGUCCCAGGGCAGGUAACAGAGUCUUCUGCCGCAAUACCUCUGUGAAAAGGAGUCACAGUGUCAUACAACAAAGAGCAUCUAUUCCUUUCUCGUGGGUCUACAGCUCAGAUGCAACUCACCUAGCUAAGCUCACUGCUGGAAUUUGGACUAGAGGCUCCAGGAUGCCAAUCCAGUCCCAGGCUAAUCCAUGUGUGUUCUCAACCUCAGAGGACCACUGCCAUCUUGGAACAUCUUUCCGUGGCAGUUUAUAUGGAUGGAAGGUGGUUGGCUGGACAGGACAUGCGUGCGAGUUUAAAAUGUUCUUUAUUCCAUUCCAUUGCUUCAACAGUCUGCAUGACCAAAUCCAGCACCAACAGGGCAGAACUGGAGUUAGUCUAAUCCAGUCUUUUUUGGUGAGCACCGAUCCACGGCGGAAAAAGGAUUUCGAGCAGCGGGAGAGGGAGCAUCUCCAGGAAACCAAAGCUGGAGGUAUAGGGGCGAGAAGUCUGAAAUCAAGGUGUUAGCAAGACCACUCUCUCCCUGGAGUCUCUACAGGGGCAGAGCUCCUUGUCUGUUUGAGUCCUCGGAGGCUCCUGGUGUUUGUGGCUCACAGCGCCCCAGUCCCUGCCUCUGUCUUCACAUGACCUUCUCUCUGUGGCUGUUUUUUUAUGAAGAGAUUUUCAUUGACUUUAGGGUAAUGUAGUAUGAUCUAUCUCCAUCCUUUUUGUAAUGACAUGCACAAAGACCCUAUUUCCAAAUGAGGUUGUAUUCUGAGGUUCUGGGCGGACAUGAGUUGGGGGGAGCACGGUGAAACCCACUGGGAUCAUGUAUAUGCAAGGUCAUCAAAUCAUCCCUUCCACUCAAGACAAAAAUGACAAAAACAGAGAAGGAUGAAGACGAAAAGAACUGUUUGAGAAAAGUGGUUUUCCCCCCGCUCUUCACGAUGAGGUGAUGUACGUCAACGGGCACGUUGGAAUGUCUGAGCUGAGAUCAGGUCUGGUUAUGCUGGGUUGCAAAUGUCACUCUUGGCUCACAAGUCACUGUGCUCUGCCAGCCGCCGCUCCGCCUCCCGUCCUGUUUCACGUGCUCAUCACGGUAGGUGACGCCCACACCACAAGCCUUAGACCUGCAUUGCCUUGGCAUUGGUCUCACUGAAGGAAAAAAAGAGGGAAAAGGAUUUUGUGAGAUUUCCGCCUUCUUCCCUCACCCGCUGAUGAUUUGCUUUCCAGCAGAUGGAAGCCCCCUGCCCCAUGGAUAAAUCUGUAAGCACCUGCAUAAAGUAACCCUUCAGGUACUCAAGUAUGAACACAGACAAGUUGGCAUCCAGUGUCCUUGCAACUCAUCUGCUCGGAUAAAACAAACUUCAGCUACAGGCCAAAUACUGCAGGUUGUUUCAGGAAUCACCCUGCUCUGGGAUGCCUGGGUGGCUCAGUUGGUUAAGCGUCUGCCUUCGGCUCAGGUCGUGAUCCCAGAGUCCUGGGAUCGAGUCCCGCACUGGGCUCCCUCCUCGGCGGGGAGCCUGCUUCUCCCUCUGCCUGCCGCUCCCCCUGCUUGUGUGCUCUCUCUCUCUGACAAAUAAAUCAAUAAAAUCUUAAAAAAAAAAAAAAAGAAAUCAACCUGCUCUUCUUAGUAUGUGACCUUGUACAUUUGUAUUCUCCUAAUGUGUCCCCCUUAAUUAUUGUGUGAUUAUUAUCAGGACAAAAAAAACCUCAUGAUUUUUCACACAGCAUUUUUAUACUCCUUUAAGAUGAAAUAUUUUAAUUGCCUCUGACAUUUUAGUUGGGAUCUUUAUAAUAUCAAUGUGACUAAGAGGAAAUCAUAUUCCGUGCGUAUGGCUUUAAUGACUGAGAGAAAUAAUAAAUUUCUCCCCACAGAAUGAGGAGUCACUGUAAGCAAGGCAUGAUGGAGUGGAAUUCUAAUCAGGAAUAAAGAGAGAAGCGGAGAGGAAAGGGAGGCCAGACGUCUUGCAUUUUUCUGCAGGACGACUGGAGCUAGGGGUCCAAGUAUUUGUGGUCCGGCUGGAAGAGCUGCUUUGUUUCUGGAAAGAAGCGUCGCUGUGGGCUGGGGGACAGAGGGCUGUUGCCUUGCACGUCUCAGGAAAUGCACCCAAACUAGCAGAGCGGCAGCGACAGACUGAUAAAUUGUCAGGACGGUUGAAUCCUGCCGAUUAAUUGUCUGUGGCACCAAACUCUUAAAACAGCAUCACUAGCAUAUUUACAGAACUUGCCGAUCUCCUCCUUGCAAACUCCAACGCUUCUGUCCAUCUGCGCUCUGUGAUAAGACCCCAUAUUAAAGCCAAAUAGACAUGCUAUUUUCCCCUCUUCCCUUCCAGCUGGGAUCAUCACAGGACUCCUAGUCUUAUGUCAACACUUGAAUCAACAGCUUUAUCUGGUCAGGAGGGAAGCACAACAAGAAUUACAUUUGGAACAAUAGGCAAAGCAAUGAUUCAUACUUAGUGAUUAUAAUGAAGUUCUUAGGCGAAGAGCUAGUCAAUCUAAGCAUACAGGAAAAAGUGAAAGGCAAUUAGGAGCUGGCAUCUGUGUGGAACGACUUCGUUUUCUUUUUUUUUUUAAAGAUUUUUUUUUUUUUUUUUUAUUCAUGAGAGACAGAGCGAGAGAGAAAGGCAGAGGGAGAAGCAGGCUCCCAAGGAGCAGGGAGCCCGAUGCGGGACUCGAUCCCAGGACCCUGAGAUCAUGACCUGAGCCGAAGGCAGACGCUUAACCAUCUGAGCCACCCAGGCGCCCACGACUUCAUUUUCUGAGGGAGAGAUGUCCUCCUUCGAUAGGAAAUAGAAGAGCUUCCCCUUCACCCACGCUGAUGUAGAAAUACAUGACAGGAGCAUUUCGAACAAACCCAUGCUGUAAGACAGUCACCAUACACACUGUUUUGAUGAUGUAAUCGUUCCUACAACCUGUAUUGGCCAGAGCUGGGCUUCACGUGGCAUCACCUGCACAAAGAGUGACUGGACACAUGGCCGUAAAUGGAAGCUCUGCGAAGGUACAGGUCAAGCUGAUGGAAGCACGCAAGAUGUGGAAGCGUGCGGAAGCUGGAAGCUGCAACAAGUUAUUACCACCCUGCCAAUGGGGCAUUUUCAACUGGUUUAUAAAAUAUAGCAGCCGGGUCCUCCACCACCUCCGUCCUUCCCUUGGUUCCUGGAUCUGUUCAUUUCAGGUGGGAGAGAGGUGGCACCACACACAACCCGCUGGUUCCGAGUGGGGACGGCUCGCUAGUGGGACAGCGCCUAAAUCAUGAAGGUGCUCUCUCCCAGCUGGUGACACGGCUGAGUCUUCAGCAGGGCUUUCCACCGGUCAUGACGCUAAGGGGUGGAGCAUGUGCUAAGACCACUGAAUGUAUGUUGGUCUCUCUUUUUAUUUGUGUCUUUACACUUGAGUGUCUGGGUUGGUUGGGAAAUUCUGCUGCUUUAGGGUGAUCUCAGCUGGCUGGGCUCAUUCCUCUGUGCUCAGCUCCUGUGGGGGACUGGGAGCUGCUGCUUCUCCCGCACACGUCUCAGCCUCCAGGGGCCAGUGGGCAUGCAUGCGCUUCUAACAGUGCUUGGGUUCCAAGGAAGAGCAUGGAGGCCCACAAGCACUUUUUCAAGCCCCUUCUUGCCACACACUUGCUGCUAUCCCACAGGCAAAAACAGGUGCAGUGGCCGAGCCCAGAGCCCGUUGGGGGAGAGCAACGCACACAGGUGUGGGGAGAUACGGAAAACUAACUCUCAGCGCAACCUGCCAUGGGUGUGCUGGCCUCAGAAAUGAGCCUGGAAAUAUCCCUUUUUAAUAUAUUCUCUGGGUGAGUUUCCUGUGCACAGUUAUCACCUAUUUCCUCAAUGCUGGGAAGAGUCUGUAAAUGAUGCUGUUUAAGUCUGGGGCUUUCUUCUCUGGAAUGUUUUCAAUUACAUUUAAUUAAGAAAUCAAUUCAUUUCAUAGA